This 396-nucleotide ribosomal RNA is filed under the name Quinella sp. 2Q5. Its description in RNAcentral is "bacterial SSU rRNA". It matches the Rfam family "Bacterial small subunit ribosomal RNA", at positions 1 to 408 of the family's 1533-position model. Lineage: Bacteria; Bacillati; Bacillota; Negativicutes; Veillonellales; Veillonellaceae. The record is from RNAcentral.
UUUUUGGAGAGUUUGAUCCUGGCUCAGGACGAACGCUGGCGGCGUGCUUAACACAUGCAAGUCGAACGGGCACUUCGGUGCUAGUGGCGAACGGGUGAGUAAAGCGCAGGUAAUCUGCCGCAAAGACGGGGACAACGUUCCGAAAGGGACGCUAAUACCGGAUGUUAUGUAGAGUUCGCAUGAACUUUACAUUAAAGAUUUAUCGCUUUGCGAGGAGCCUGCGUCCGAUUAGGUAGUUGGUGGGGUAAGAGCCUACCAAGCCGACGAUCGGUAGCCGGUCUGAGAGGAUGAACGGCCACAAUGGAACUGAGACACGGUCCAUACUCCUACGGGAGGCAGCAGUGGGGAAUAUUCCACAAUGGGCGGAAGCCUGAUGGAGCGACGCCGCGUGAGUGA